RNAcentral lists this ribosomal RNA (271 nucleotides) under uncultured Pseudomonas sp. RNAcentral describes it as "partial 16S ribosomal RNA". It matches the Rfam family "Bacterial small subunit ribosomal RNA", at positions 1111 to 1382 of the family's 1533-position model. The record is from RNAcentral. Lineage: Bacteria; Pseudomonadati; Pseudomonadota; Gammaproteobacteria; Pseudomonadales; Pseudomonadaceae.
UUAGUUCCAGCACGUUAUGUGGGCACUCUAAGGAGACUGCCGGUGACAAACCGGAGGAAGGUGGGGAGUGACGUCAAGUCAUCAUGGCCCUUACGGCCUGGGCUACACACGUGCUACAAUGGUCGGUACAAAGGGUUGCCAAGCCGCGAGGUGGAGCUAAUCCCAUAAAACCGAUCGUAGUCCGGAUCGCAGUCUGCAACUCGACUGCGUGAAGUCGGAAUCGCUAGUAAUCGUGAAUCAGAAUGUCACGGUGAAUACGUUCCCGGGCCUU